RNAcentral lists this long non-coding RNA (876 nucleotides) under Homo sapiens (human). Its description in RNAcentral is "HSALNT0294488". The record is from RNAcentral. Lineage: Eukaryota; Metazoa; Chordata; Mammalia; Primates; Hominidae.
GGAAGGCUGAGGCAGGAGGGCCGCUUGAGCCCAGGAGUUAGAAUCCACUCUGAGUAACACAAUGAGACCCCGUCUCUAAAACCCAGAAAAAGGCCAGGUACGAGACCGUGCCGGUGCCCCACCAGUCCCCUCCCCUUCCUGAGGCUCCUGCUCCAGGCAGUUCUCCUAGGAGCAGGCCCGGCCUCUGGCUGCACUGGACGAGCGCAAGGCAGAUCUGGAGGCCCCCUGCCGGCGGGAUGCCAAGAUCAGCUGGUCACUAAGUCCCAAUGGAGUCAUCAUCCGUGUUACUAAGAAAGUGAGGGGCCCGCGGCACAAACCACAAGCGGGAGCGAGGAGAAUCUGGAAAGCCGAGUGGGAGAGGUAGCUGGAAGGGCCGGCUGCGCGGGCCUGGGAGUAUCCUGGAGGUCGGGCAUGUACCGGCAUUUUUGUGCGGUGAUUUUUUCAAUUCAGUCCCAAAGAAGUCCGGGGUGGGUGGGCGAGGCGCAUCUAAAAGGGCAGGAAUGGGAUGAGCGGAAGGCACGGUUUCCUAAGAGGGCUAUGCAGUAAUUACUACAACAGUGACAAGGUUGGAAAGAAAAGAAGGAAACCAAACAUUAUAAAAUAUAGAGGCUGUGCCUUUUAAAUCAAGAAUAGCCAAUUAGCCUAUUGUGUUAUGUAAUAUCUCAUUCAUUAGUGAUUGAAUUACCUCUGGCUGCAUGUACUGUUUCCCUGAAGUUAAUUUUUAUUCCAUUAUGAAGGAAUAAAUCAAAUCCAUUGAAAGGAAAUCUGACCUCUUUGCUGUCUACAGGAGGAAGGCCUUGAACCAAGUCUUUUUUGUGGUUUAAUAUUUUCGGUUUCAACUUAAUAAAGAGGAGCCUGAGGGAUAAGAAAAGAGGU